AGUCCUGUGAGUUCUCCCAGCAAAUCAUCAAAGCUAACGGUGGUCUUGAACUUUUGAAAGAAGCUCAACUCCCUCCCUCUCAAAAAACAAGUACCUAGUAUAUACUAUAUAUUUUUAAAUAUAUUUAUGUAUGUGUGUAUAUCUAUCUACCAUACUAUAUGGUUUUAUAUGGGUAUGUUCAUUUUCCUAAUUGUGGAGCUCGUUUAAUGUAUGUAUGUUUAAUGUAUGUUUUAACAUAUGUUAAAACAUCAAGUUGUACAGCCUAAAGAUGUGUGGUUUAUUGUAGGUCAUUUGUACCUGAAUGAAGCUGUUCUUAAAAAAAAAAAGUACAGAGCACUUUUUAUGUAAUGGGUAAUAUUUUCAGCACUUUAUGGGAAUGAUACUGUUCUGUCUUUCUAAAACCUUGUGAGGUAAGCACUGUUAUUAUUCUCAGGAGGCUGAGUUUUAGAUAAGCAAAAUUACUAAGCAAAGCACACAAUAGCCAAAGAAAGAACUUGUACUUUAACCCAAGCCUGGCAGAAUUCCAAAGCACAUUCUCCAUCAACUCUUUCAUAUUCCAUGUAUGAAUUACUGAGAAAUGAAUUUUGGUAAUUAUUUUGAAAUUUCUCGUCUACGAAUGAUCUUCCACUGGCACUCCAGUUUGGGGAUUAUAGGAGGUCAUUAAUUGGACUUUGUGUCCUCUGACUCUUUGGCCUGUUAGCCGUUAUUGCUCUGCUGUGAUGGCCUUAGGGCUUUAGGACAUCAGAGGCCAAGGGCUCCCGUUUCAGAGUUCCCUGACACUGACUCCUGCGCCUUUACUCAAGGUUCCUGCUUCGCGUCCCUGUCCCUUCUAACCUUGAUUCUGUGCUUCAAGCCCCCAUUCUCUUUCAGAUUUCCUACCGAGUUACUGACUUAUUUUGUCUCUUUUCCCCACCUCUUUAUCUUUGGCUCUCUCCAACUUAUAUUUUGACUAUUGAUUCCAUGGGAUUCUUGGCAAUGACUGCACCCACUGCUCCGGGCAAGAGACCGUCUUCCCAGCCCACCGUGACUCCCCUAGUUCCAGCUGGACUCCAUCUCCAGAACAGAAAAAAAGCAGACAUGGAAGUCAGUGAAUCAGGCAGUGCCCUCCACCUUGUGCCACCCCAGAAGGACAUCGGUCCACAAUAUUCCCAAGAAAGAGAUUCCACUCCUAACUCUUCAUGGCUGACAAAAUAAUAAGAGAAGAAGGGCUUAUCUGGUAUCAUUCCAUCCUCCUAACUAGAAAAACUCCUUCAGGAAAUGUCUUGAGGCUAACUGGGAGACGUACAUCAAAGAGAAUUUGGCUAAGCUGAAAUGUCAUCUUUCACGGGGAGCUCACCAGGGCGAUUUAUCAAAAUUGACCCUAUCAGAGAAGGACCAACCAUCCUUAGUAGACCCGAGGUUGCAAAAUGCCACCACAUUUGGCCAUAGAAUUUAUCAUGUCAGGAGAUC
Molecule: long non-coding RNA, 1449 nt
Filed under: Ursus americanus (American black bear)
Lineage: Eukaryota; Metazoa; Chordata; Mammalia; Carnivora; Ursidae
Description: lncRNA (ENSUAMG00000024025.1)
Source: RNAcentral